Molecule: transfer RNA, 73 nt
Filed under: Spirochaetota bacterium
Lineage: Bacteria; Pseudomonadati; Spirochaetota
Description: Spirochaetes bacterium (activated sludge metagenome) tRNA-Ala
Rfam family: tRNA
About the family: Transfer RNA (tRNA) molecules are approximately 80 nucleotides in length.
Source: RNAcentral
GGGGACGUAGCUCAGUUGGGAGAGCACCAGAUUUGCAUUCUGGGGGUCGUGAGUUCGAACCUCAUCGUCUCCA